This 504-nucleotide ribosomal RNA is filed under the name uncultured bacterium. Its description in RNAcentral is "bacterial SSU rRNA". It matches the Rfam family "Bacterial small subunit ribosomal RNA", at positions 791 to 1294 of the family's 1533-position model. The record is from RNAcentral.
UAGUCCACGCUGUAAACGAUGUCUACUAGCCGUUGGUUUCCUUGAGGAAGCAGUGGCGCAGCUAACGCGAUAAGUAGACCGCCUGGGGAGUACGGCCGCAAGGUUAAAACUCAAAUGAAUUGACGGGGGCCCGCACAAGCGGUGGAGCAUGUGGUUUAAUUCGAUGCAACGCGAAGAACCUUACCAGGUCUUGACAUCCUGAAAACUUUCUAGAGAUAGAUUGGUGCCUUCGGGAAUUCAGUGACAGGUGCUGCAUGGCUGUCGUCAGCUCGUGUCGUGAGAUGUUGGGUUAAGUCCCGUAACGAGCGCAACCCUUGUCCUUAGUUGCUAGCAGGUAAUGUCGGGGACUCUAACGAGACUGCCCGCGUAAGCGGAGAGGAAGGUGGGGACGACGUCAAAUCAUCAUGGCCUUUAUGCCUAGGGCUACACACGUGCUACAAUGGCAGGUACAGAGGGUUGCGAAGGGGUGACCUGGAGCUAAUCUCAGAAAGCCUGUCCCAGUUC